This 486-nucleotide ribosomal RNA is filed under the name uncultured bacterium. RNAcentral describes it as "partial 16S ribosomal RNA". It matches the Rfam family "Bacterial small subunit ribosomal RNA", at positions 28 to 507 of the family's 1533-position model. The record is from RNAcentral.
GAUGAACGCUGGCGGCGUGCCUAAUACAUGCAAGUCGAACGCUGGAGAUCUAGCUUGCUAGAUCGAAGGAGUGGCGAACGGGUGAGUAAUACAUAAGCAACCUACCCACGAAGACUGGGAUAAUCUCUGGAAACGGGGACUAAUACCGGAUAGGUAAUCGGAAGGCAUCUUCUGGUUAUUAAAGGUUAAAACAACUGUUGGAUGGGCUUAUGGCGCAUUAGUUAGUUGGUGAGGUAACGGCCCACCAAGACGAUGAUGCGUAGCCGGCCUGAGAGGGUGAACGGCCACAUUGGGACUGAGACACGGCCCAGACUCCUACGGGAGGCAGCAGUAGGGAAUUUUCGGCAAUGGGGGCAACCCUGACCGAGCAACGCCGCGUGAGUGAAGACGGCCUUCGGGUUGUAAAGCUCUGUUGUAAGGGAAGAACGGUAGAUAGAGAAUAUCUAAGUGACGGUACCUUACCAGAAAGCCACGGCUAACUACGUG